GAACGGUAUCGGAUUAUUGGGCGUAAGCGCGCGCAGGCGGUUUCUUAAGUCUGAUGUGAAAGCCCACGGCUCAACCGUGGAGGGUCAUUGGAAACUGGGGAACUUGAGUGCAGAAGAGAAAAGCGGAAUUCCACGUGUAGCGGUGAAAUGCGUAGAGAUGUGGAGGAACACCAGUGGCGAAGGCGGCUUUUUGGUCUGUUACUGACGCUGAGGCGCGAAAGCGUGGGGAGCAAACAGGAUUAAAUACCCUGGUAGUCCACGCCGUAAACGAUGAGUGCUAAGUGUUAGAGGGUUUCCGCCCUUUAGUGCUGCAGCUAACGCAUUAAGCACUCCGCCUGGGGAGUACGGUUGCAAGACUGAAACUCAAAGGAAUUAACGGGGGCCCACAUAGGCAGUGUAGUAUGUGGUUUAAUUGAAAGGAUGGCGAAGUGCCUUUUCAGGGUGUGAUGUCCUCAAUGACUGUAAAAAUGUGCCUGCCCCUUGAGGGGACAGACUGUCAGAUGUGGCU
RNAcentral lists this ribosomal RNA (508 nucleotides) under Bacillus sp. DCU29. Its description in RNAcentral is "bacterial SSU rRNA". It matches the Rfam family "Bacterial small subunit ribosomal RNA", at positions 536 to 1045 of the family's 1533-position model. Lineage: Bacteria; Bacillati; Bacillota; Bacilli; Caryophanales; Bacillaceae. The record is from RNAcentral.